GAUUUCUGCUCUGAUUUUCAUAUUUCUUGCUACCAAUUGGAUUGGUUGGUUUGGUUUGGUCUGGUUUGAUUUGGUGGUUUUUGUUUUUUUUUUUUUUUCUUUGAGACAUGGCUUCUUUCUGUAUUCUUGGCUGUCCUGGAACUCACUCUGUAGACCAGGCUGGACAGAGAUCCACCUGCCUCUGCCUCCCAAGCUCAGAGAUUAAAGGCGUGCUCCAGGACCACCUGGUAUCUUUCAGAUUUUUUAAUAUAGGCACUUAGAUUUAUAAAUUUACCUCAUAGGACAAUAUGUCCCAGAGGUUUUAUUGUAUUCUGUUUACAUUUUCAUUUAGUUUUAGGACUUUCCUUUAUGUCUUGAUUUCUGUUUGACCCAUUCAUCAUUCAGUAAUGAGUUGCUUGAUCUCCAUGAAUCUGUGUGUUCACUAGAGAUUUGUUUGCUGCCAAUUUUAAUUUCUAUUGCAUUGUGGCAAGAUAGCACACAAGGAGUGAGUUCAGUCUGUUGUCAUUCAUAAAGAUUUGUUUCAUGUCUCAGGAUGUAGUCUGGUUUAGAAAGCCUCUAUGUGCUGCUAAAUAGAAUGUAUAUUGGGGGAGGGGGACUGGAGAUAUUGUUCGGCAGUUAAGAGCACUGACUGUUCUUCCAAAGGUCCUGAGUUCAAAUCCUAGCAACCACAUGGUGGCUCACGGCCAUCCUUAACAAGAUCUGACCCCCUCUUCUGGAGUAUCUGAAGACAGCUACAGUGUACUUACAUAUAAUAAAUAAAACUUAAAAAGGGUGGAAUUUUCUCUAGAUACCUGUUAAAUUCCACUUGAUAUAUCAGUUAAUUCUGAUGUUUACCUUUUUUUUUUUUUGUCCAGAUGACCCAUCUAUUAGAGAAAAUGGGAUAUUGAAAUGGAGUACUCACUAUUAAUGAGAAUUAAUGUGUGUCUCUAAACCCAGUAAUAGAUUUUUAAUGAAAUUUGGUGCCUCAGAUAUGUUUGAUGAAUAUAUGUUUAAGAUAGUAAUGCCUUUUUGAGUAGUUGUUCCCUUGAUUAGAAUGAAAGAUACCUCUUUCUCUCUUCUGAUUAGUUUUAGUUUAAAGUCUGUUUCUCAUAAAUUAAUAUAAUGGUGCUUGCUUGCUUCCUUCCGAUCCCAUUUGAUAAAGUAUUUUUAUCUAUCCUUUACUCUAACAUGGUGCCUGUCUUAAAAUAUAAGGUGUUUUUGUGUUUUCUUGGCUAUCAAUGAGAAGAAUAACCUUAAGCAUUUUCCUUAAUAUCAAGUUGUUUAUUUUUGUCUUCUUUAAACUCCUUGAAUUCUUUGAUGAAGUUUAUAUAUAUAUUUUUUUAAAUUCUGUAUCUUGUAUUUCAUUUGGGUGAUUCCUGUAGGGUUUGUAGGAUUUAGAGAGAAGGUACUGGCAUAAUCUUUUAUAUUGUUGGUAUUUUUGUGAUGAGAUCUGUGCACACAGACUUCUUUUGUUAGUUCUGAGUCUGUUAUGGACAAAGCAGGUUUGAGGCAAAAGAGAAGAUAUUUAGAUGUUUUGGGCCUAAAGAUUGGAAAUGGCUUGGGUGGGAUAAAGUCAGGUAGACUUGGAGGGGGGGAAGUGGGAGGAGGGACUGGACUGGGAUGGUAUGAACAAUGUGCUUCCUGGUCUGAGCCUGGAGGGUGGGACUAGACCUGCCUGGGUGGAAAGGUUGGCUAUGGCAUGGGUGUGUUCUGUGGUUUGAGGGAAGGUCCUGGCAGAAGCCUAGAGAUCUUUUGUAGUACAGGCAGGGGAGGCCAGACUAGGCUUGGUGCACUGGGUGUUGGACCCAGGCUAGAUCUGGUGGGUUGUAGAAAAGGUAUGUUUGAGGAAUAUCAAGGGGAGGUCUCGAUACCAAGUGGGGUGAUUGCAAGUGGCACAGAAACCACUUGUAGGUGGUUUGACUCCUGGGAAACGUAGAGGUUGACUUAAGCAACAGGGGAGGUUGGUUACAUUAGACAGGGACAAAUAGGAUGUGGGACUCAGCAGAAGCCUAGAGCUUGGGUACUGCACAGUCAGUGGUCUAGGCUGGGCCACUGGUUAUGGGACCUGGGCUAGAUCUUGUGGGUUGUAGUAAAGGCAUAGAUAGGGAGGAUGGGGAAGAGGAAGGAGGACAAUUUACUGAGUUAGACCCUACAUGAGGAUGUGAGUAUUCUUUUUGCGUGCUUUUAAAUAUGGCUUUAUUGAGUUAGAGGCCACUCUAGCCUACAGAGUGAGUUCCAAAGCUCCAUGGAAAAACCCUGUCUCAAAAAAAGAACGAACGAACGA
This 2263-nucleotide long non-coding RNA is filed under the name Mus musculus (house mouse). RNAcentral describes it as "long non-coding RNA chr11:59691690-59693953". Lineage: Eukaryota; Metazoa; Chordata; Mammalia; Rodentia; Muridae. The record is from RNAcentral.